Molecule: ribosomal RNA, 215 nt
Filed under: Salmonella enterica
Lineage: Bacteria; Pseudomonadati; Pseudomonadota; Gammaproteobacteria; Enterobacterales; Enterobacteriaceae
Also listed under: 1 other name
Description: partial 16S ribosomal RNA
Rfam family: Bacterial small subunit ribosomal RNA
Source: RNAcentral
GAAUCGCUAGUAAUCGUGGAUCAGAAUGCCACGGUGAAUACGUUCCCGGGCCUUGUACACACCGCCCGUCACACCAUGGGAGUGGGUUGCAAAAGAAGUAGGUAGCUUAACCUUCGGGAGGGCGCUUACCACUUUGUGAUUCAUGACUGGGGUGAAGUCGUAACAAGGUAACCGUAGGGGAACCUGCGGUUGGAUCACCUCCUUACCUUAAAGAA